GAUGAAGAACGUAGCGAAAUGCGAUAAUUAAUGUGAAUUGCAGAAUUCCGUGAAUCAUCGAGUCUUUGAACGCACAUUGCGCCUCAUGGCAUUCCGUGAGGCAUGCCCAUCUCAGCGUUAGAAAAUAUUCUCAAAUUUUAGUUUUGUGCUAAAAUUUGGAUCAUGUCAAGGAAGCUAUUACUAUUAUUGUGAUUGCUCUUUGGAAAUUGAUAGGUCUUUGAGUUGCUACUCAUAGAACGUGAUGAAUCUUUCUUCGUUCUAUUGUAAUUCACUCUGGUAGUCCUAAAAGUUGUAUGCCUGUGGCAUAUCUUGUAAUUUGACCUGAGAUUGGGUAGGGAUACCCGCUGAACUUAAGCAUAUCAAUAAGCGGAGA
RNAcentral lists this unclassified non-coding RNA (373 nucleotides) under soil metagenome. RNAcentral's name for it is "partial contains internal transcribed spacer 2 and large subunit ribosomal RNA". The stretch from base 1 to 120 matches the Rfam family "5.8S ribosomal RNA", at positions 35 to 154 of the family's 154-position model. The record is from RNAcentral.